Molecule: ribosomal RNA, 450 nt
Filed under: uncultured Glomus
Lineage: Eukaryota; Fungi; Glomeromycota; Glomeromycetes; Glomerales; Glomeraceae
Description: SSU rRNA
Rfam family: Eukaryotic small subunit ribosomal RNA
Source: RNAcentral
AGCAGCCGCGGUAAUUCCAGCUCCAAUAGCGUAUAUUAAAGUUGUUGCAGUUAAAAAGCUCGUAGUUGAAUUUCGGGAUCAAUUUGUUGGUCGUGCCUCGGUACGUACUGGCAUUAUUGGUUUCUACCUCCUGAAGAACCUUGAUGUCAUUAAUUUGGUGUCUUGGGGAAUCAGGACUGUUACUUUGAAAAAUUAGAGUGUUUAAAGCAGGCAUACGCUUGAAUACAUUAGCAUGGAAUAAUGAAAUAGGACGUUUGAUUCUAUUUUGUUGGUUUCUAGGAUCGACGUAAUGAUUAAUAGGGAUAGUUGGGGGCAUUAGUAUUCAAUUGUCAGAGGUGAAAUUCUUGGAUUUAUUGAAGACUAACUACUGCGAAAGCAUUUGCCAAGGAUGUUUUCAUUAAUCAAGAACGAAAGUUAGGGGAUCGAAGACGAUCAGAUACCGUCGUAGUC